UUGACCUACGGGACGCAGCAGUGAGGAAUAUUGGUCAAUGGGCGGGAGCCUGAACCAGCCAAGCCGCGUGAAGGAAGAAGGCGCCAAGCGUCGUAAACUUCUUUUGUCGGGGAACAAAGGGCGCCACGUGUGGCGUUGUGAGUGUACCCGAAGAAAAAGCAUCGGCUAACUCCGUGCCAGCAGCCGCGGUAAUACGGAGGAUGCGCGCGGUAUCCGGAUUUAUUGGGUUUAAAGGGUGCGUAGGCGGUCCGGAACGUCAGCGGUAAAAGCCCGGGGCUCAACCCCGGCGAGCCGUUGAUACUGUC
This 305-nucleotide ribosomal RNA is filed under the name uncultured bacterium. RNAcentral describes it as "bacterial SSU rRNA". It matches the Rfam family "Bacterial small subunit ribosomal RNA", at positions 334 to 637 of the family's 1533-position model. The record is from RNAcentral.